Molecule: ribosomal RNA, 550 nt
Filed under: Florenciella parvula
Lineage: Eukaryota; Dictyochophyceae; Florenciellales
Description: SSU rRNA
Rfam family: Eukaryotic small subunit ribosomal RNA
Source: RNAcentral
UAGCGUAUAUUAAAGUUGUUGCAGUUAAAAAGCUCGUAGUUGGAUUUCUGGUGGGGCUGUCGGCCUGCUCCGAAGGGGUCGUGGUUAGUACACGCCUGGCCAUCCUCGGGGGAAGCUUUGCUGGCAUUAAGUUGUCGGCGGAGUGACGCUCGUCGUUUACUGUGAACAAAUUAGAGUGUUCAAAGCAGGCUUAGGCCGUUGAAUACAUUAGCAUGGAAUAAUGGGAUAGGACUUUGGUGGUCUAUUUUGUUGGUUUGCACGCCGAAGUAAUGAUUAAUAGGGGCGGUUGGGGGUAUUCGUAUUCAAUUGUCAGGGGUGAAAUUCUUGGAUUUAUGGAAGACGAACUACUGCGAAAGCAUUUACCAAGGAUGUUCUCAUUAAUCAAGAACGAAAGUUAGGGGAUCGAAGAAGAUUAGAUACCUUCGUAGUCUUAACCAUAAACUAUGCCGACUAGGGAUUGGCGGUCGCUUGUUCAGGCUCCGUCAGCACCUUAUGAGAAAUCAAAGUCUUUGGGUUCCGGGGGGAGUAUGGUCGCAAGGCUGAAACUUAA